This 465-nucleotide ribosomal RNA is filed under the name uncultured bacterium. RNAcentral's name for it is "bacterial SSU rRNA". It matches the Rfam family "Bacterial small subunit ribosomal RNA", at positions 917 to 1382 of the family's 1533-position model. The record is from RNAcentral.
GGGCCCGCACAAGCGGUGGAGCAUGUGGCUCAAUUCGAGGCAACGCGAAGAACCUUACCUGGGUUUGAAAUGUGUUUGACAACCGUGGAAACACGGUCUCCCGCAAGGGCAGGCACACAGGUGCUGCAUGGCUGUCGUCAGCUCGUGCCGUGAGGUGUUCGGUUAAGUCCGGCAACGAGCGCAACCCGUAUCAUUAGUUGCUACCAGGUAAUGCUGGGCACUCUAAUGAGACUGCCUGUGUUAAGCAGGAGGAAGGCGCGGAUGACGUCAAGUCAGUAUGGCCCUUAUGUCCAGGGCUGCACACGUGCUACAAUGGUCGGUACAAUGGGUAGCAAUACCGCGAGGUGGAGCAAAUCCUGAAAACCGCCCUUAGUUCAGAUUGCAGUCUGCAACUCGACUGCAUGAAGUUGGAAUCGCUAGUAAAGGCGUAUCAGCCACGACGCCUUGAAUACGUUCCCGGGCCUU